RNAcentral lists this ribosomal RNA (465 nucleotides) under uncultured Staphylococcus sp. RNAcentral's name for it is "bacterial SSU rRNA". It matches the Rfam family "Bacterial small subunit ribosomal RNA", at positions 338 to 795 of the family's 1533-position model. Lineage: Bacteria; Bacillati; Bacillota; Bacilli; Caryophanales; Staphylococcaceae. The record is from RNAcentral.
CCUACGGGUGGCAGCAGUAGGGAAUCUUCCGCAAUGGGCGAAAGCCUGACGGAGCAACGCCGCGUGAGUGAUGAAGGUCUUCGGAUCGUAAAACUCUGUUAUUAGGGAAGAACAAAUGUGUAAGUAACUAUGCACGUCUUGACGGUACCUAAUCAGAAAGCCACGGCUAACUACGUGCCAGCAGCCGCGGUAAUACGUAGGUGGCAAGCGUUAUCCGGAAUUAUUGGGCGUAAAGCGCGCGUAGGCGGUUUUUUAAGUCUGAUGUGAAAGCCCACGGCUCAACCGUGGAGGGUCAUUGGAAACUGGAAAACUUGAGUGCAGAAGAGGAAAGUGGAAUUCCAUGUGUAGCGGUGAAAUGCGCAGAGAUAUGGAGGAACACCAGUGGCGAAGGCGACUUUCUGGUCUGUAACUGACGCUGAUGUGCGAAAGCGUGGGGAUCAAACAGGAUUAGAUACCCGAGUAGUC